This 74-nucleotide transfer RNA is filed under the name Candidatus Omnitrophota bacterium. Its description in RNAcentral is "tRNA-Lys". It matches the Rfam family "tRNA". Rfam says of the family: Transfer RNA (tRNA) molecules are approximately 80 nucleotides in length. Their secondary structure includes four short double-helical elements and three loops (D, anti-codon, and T loops). The record is from RNAcentral. Lineage: Bacteria; Pseudomonadati; Candidatus Omnitrophota.
GGGUCACUAGCUCAAUUGGUUAGAGCAGCGGACUCUUAAUCCGGUGGUUCGGGGUUCGAGUCCCCGGUGACCCA